RNAcentral lists this long non-coding RNA (1080 nucleotides) under Heterocephalus glaber (naked mole-rat). RNAcentral describes it as "lncRNA (ENSHGLG00100034203.1)". Lineage: Eukaryota; Metazoa; Chordata; Mammalia; Rodentia; Bathyergidae. The record is from RNAcentral.
CGGAGCUCAAACUCAUGACCUUGUGCUUGGGAGGCAGGCGCAGUGCCACUGAGCUAAAUCCCCGGCCCUAAAAAAAAAUUGUUUUAAGUAAGAACUUUUUAACACAGAAAAAUAAUUCAUAAGUAUACAGCUUGAUGAUCAGCUUGGUGAUUUACCUCAAAUUAAUAUCCCAUACUCACCACAUGAGUCAAGAACAGAACCUUCCCCACACCCCAGAAACUACAGUCCUGCUCCCUUCCAAAUAUAUUACCCCUCUUCCUCAGAGGGUGCUGACUGCUCACCAUUGUGACAAAAGUCCUACACUCACAGACGCCCCAUCCAAAGACUGAAGGCCUGGCCAGGGAUUUAGCUCAGUGGUUCCACUGUCUGCCUUGCAAGCACAAGGACCCGAGUUCGAUCCCCGGUACCAAAGACUGAGGACCUGAGCACUGUAUCAGAGGACCCGCCAGCCCGAGCCCCGAUGCAGUAUGGUCCCUCUGUGUAUUCCAGGCUGGACUUAAACUCACUAUGUAGCCCAGGCUGUCCUCGUACUCAUGGUGAUCCUCCUGCCUCAGCCUCCCAAGUGCUGAGAUUACAAGUCUGCACCACCACACCUACCUGUUUCUAAAAUAGGGAUAACAGGGAGGCUGAGACUGAAGUUAUGUAGUGAGUUUGAGGCCAGCUUAGGGUACAUAGAAAGACCCUAUGUUAAAAAAAUCAAAGCCAAACCAAACAAAGCCAAAUAAACAAACAACAAAAACAGAAACAAAACUAAUCCUGUUUGGGAGGCUGAAGCUGGUUUGAGAUUGAUCGCAGGUAUGAAGCCAUCUAAAACAAUUUAGCAAGAUCCUGUAUCCAAAAAAAAAAAAAAAUACACAGCAUACCUCAUCCUUCAGGGCUGUUACCCUUUGUUUUGCUUUUGGUGCUGCCAGAGUUUUAGGGCAAAAGCCUUUGCUCCAGGAGUCCCAGCAGCAAGGUUCAGCCACCUGUCCCAGGAUGAGAGGUGCUAAAGGGUAGGCAAGGAGCUUUAAUCACCAGGGCCAAGCUGGGAAUCACGGACAAAGAGCUUCAAGCCCUGGGGUUUUAUAGAAAAGGGAAGCA